GGCCUCACAAAGAUGGUGUCCUCGGAGCAGGCAGAGCGGCUGACCCAGCCAAGCUCUACUCCAGGAAGUGAAAAGGUGGUGUCUUUGAUGGCCACAGCAGUGAAGUUUCUACAGAAUUCCCGGGUUCGCCAGAGUCCACUUGUGACCAGGAGAGCAUCCCUUAAGAAGAAAGGGCUGACGGAUGAAGAGAUGGAUCUGGCUUUCCAGCAGUCAGGCACUGCUGCGGAUGAGCCCUGGUCCUUGGGCCCAGCCGCACAGGUGGUUCCCGUCCAGCCCCCUCACCUCAUUUCGCAGCCUUACAUCCCUGUAGGUUCCAGGUGGCGAG
Molecule: long non-coding RNA, 325 nt
Filed under: Marmota monax (woodchuck)
Lineage: Eukaryota; Metazoa; Chordata; Mammalia; Rodentia; Sciuridae
Source: RNAcentral